AUUGAACGCUGGCGGAAUGCUUUACACAUGCAAGUCGAGCGGCAGCACGGACUUCGGUCUGGUGGCGAGUGGCGAACGGGUGAGUAAUAUAUCGGAACGUGCCCAGUCGUGGGGGAUAACGUAGUGAAAAUUACGCUAAUACCGCAUACGAUCUAUGGAUGAAAGCGGGGGAUCGCAAGCCUCGCGCGAUUGGAGCGGCCGAUAUCAGAUUAGGUAGUUGGUGAGGUAAAGGCUCACCAAGCCAACGAUCUGUAGCUGGUCUGAGAGGACGACCAGCCACACUGGAACUGAGACACGGUCCAGACUCCUACGGGAAGCAGCAGUGGGGAAUUUUGGACAAUGGACGCAAGUCUGAUCCAGCCAUUCCGCGUGCAGGACGAAGGCCUUCGGGUUGUAAACUGCUUUUGUACAGAACGAAAAGGUUUCUAUUAAUACUAGGGGCUCAUGACGGUACUGUAAGAAUAAGCACCGGCUAACUACGUGCCAGCCGCCGCCGUAA
Molecule: ribosomal RNA, 499 nt
Filed under: uncultured bacterium
Lineage: Bacteria
Description: partial 16S ribosomal RNA
Rfam family: Bacterial small subunit ribosomal RNA
Source: RNAcentral